Molecule: long non-coding RNA, 1053 nt
Filed under: Coturnix japonica (Japanese quail)
Lineage: Eukaryota; Metazoa; Chordata; Aves; Galliformes; Phasianidae
Description: lncRNA (ENSCJPG00005000927.1)
Source: RNAcentral
CUCUAUGGGGUCCCUAUGGGUCUCUAUGGGGCAGCAUCCGGGAACUGCACGACAUGUUCGUGGACAUGGCCAUGCUGGUCGAGAGCCAGGUUAGGGGGCAGCUAUGGGGCGCUAUGGGGCUCUAUGGGGCUCUAUGGGUCUCUAUGGGGUCCUAUGGGGGUCUAUGGGGUCCCUAUGGGGGUCAGGUGGGCUCUAUGGGGUCUCUAUGGGGCUCUAUGGGAUCUGUGGGGUCUCUAUGGGGGCUCUAUGGGGUCCUAUGGGGGCUCUAUAGGUCUCUAUGGGGUCCUAUGGGGGUCUAUGGGGUCCCUAUGGGGUCCUAUGGGGGUUCUAUGGGGCUCUAUGGGGCUCUAUGUGGGUUCUAUGGGGUCUGUGGGGCUCUAUGGGGUCCCUAUGGGGGCUCUGUGGGGCUCUAUGGGGCUCUAUGGGGUCCCUAUGGGGGUCAGGAGGGCUCUAUGGGGUCUCUAUGGGGUCCUAUGGGGCUCUAUGGGGCUCUAUGGGGUCCUAUGGGGGUUCUAUGGGGGUCUAUGGGGUCUCUAUGGGGGCUCUAUGAGGCUCUAUGGGAUCUAUGGGGUCCUAUGGGGGUCUAUGGGGGCUCUAUGGGGUUCUAUGGGGCUCUGUGGGGCUCUAUGGGGUCCCUAUGGGUCUCUAUGGGGCAGCAUCAAGGAGCUGCACGACAUGUUUGUCGACAUCGCCAUGUUGGUGGAGAACCAGGUUAGGGGGCAGCUAUGGGGCGCUAUGGGGCUCUAUGGGGUCCUAUGGGGUCUCUAUGGGGCUCUAUGGGGUCCUAUGGGGUCCUAUGGGGGUUCUAUGGGGCUCUAUGGGGUCCUAUGGGGUCCUAUGGGGCUCUGUGGGGCUCUACGGAGUCUCUAUGGGUCUCUAUGGGGCGAGAGCCAGGUUAGGGGGCAGCUAUGGGGCGCUUUGGGGCUCUAUGGGGGUCUGUGGGGCUCUAUGGGGUCCCUAUGGGGUCCUAUGGGGGCUCUAUGGGGUCCUAUGGGGGCUCUGUGGGGCUCUAUGGGGUCCUAUGAGGCUCUAUGGGGUCCCUAUGGGGUCUCU